CAUUGGAAACAGUGGCUAAGACUGGAUAGGAAGAUAAAAGGCAUCUUUUAUCUUUUAAAAGACCUAGUAAUAGGUAUGCUUUAGGAGGGGCUUGCGCCAUAUUAGUUAGUUGGUAGGGUAAUGGCCUACCAAGACGAUGAUGUGUAGCUGGACUGAGAGGUUGAACAGCCACAUUGGGACUGAGACACGGCCCAAACUCCUACGGGAGGCAGCAGUAGGGAAUUUUCGGCAAUGGAGGAAACUCUGACCGAGCAACGCCGCGUGAAUGACGAAGUACUUCGGUAUGUAAAGUUCUUUUAUCAAGGAAGAAAAGCAAAUGGCGAACCAUUUGUUUGCCGGUACUUGAUGAAUAAGCCCCGGCUAAUUAUGUGCCAGCAGCCGCGGUAAGACAUAAGGGGCAAGUGUUAUCCGGAAUUAUUGGGCGUAAAGGGUGCGUAGGCGGUCUAGUAAGUCAGUGGUGUAAUGGCAACGCUUAACGUUGUCCGGCUAUUGAAACUGCUAAACUUGAGUUAGAUAGAGGCGAGUGGAAUUCCAUGUGUAGCGGUAAAAUGCGUAAAUAUAUGGAGGAACACCAGAGGCGUAGGCGGCUCGCUGGGUCUUAACUGACGCUGAGGCACGAAAGCGUGGGGAGCAAACAGGAUUAGAUACCCUGGUAGUCCACGCCGUAAACGAUGAGUACUAAGUGUCGGGUUAAACCGGUACUGAAGUUAACACAUUAAGUACUCCGCCUGAGUAGUACGUACGCAAGUAUGAAACUUAAAGGAAUUGACGGGACUCCGCACAAGCGGUGGAUCAUGUUGUUUAAUUCGAAGAUACCCGAAAAACCUUACCAGGUCUUGACAUGUUUUUGCAAAAUGAUAGUAAUAUCGUGGAGGUUACCAGAAACACAGGUGGUGCAUGGUUGUCGUCAGCUCGUGUCGUGAGAUGUUAGGUUAAGUCCUAAAACGAGCGAAACCCUUAUCGUUAGUUGCCAGCACGUUAUGGUGGGGACUUUAACGAGACUGCCAAUGAUAAAUUGGAGGAAGGUGAGGAUCACGUCAAAUCAGCAUGCCCCUUAUGACCUGGGCUACAAACGUGAUACAAUGGCUGUUACAAAGGGUAGCUGAAACGCAAGUUCUUGGCCAAUCCCCAAAAACAGUCCCAGUCCGGAUUGAAGUCUGCAACUCGACUUCAUGAAGUUGGAAUCGCUAGUAAUCGCGAAUCAGCAUGUCGCGGUGAAUACGUUCUCGGGGUUUGUACACACCGCCCGUCAAACCACGAAAGUUG
This 1266-nucleotide ribosomal RNA is filed under the name 'Chenopodium album' yellowing phytoplasma. RNAcentral's name for it is "bacterial SSU rRNA". It matches the Rfam family "Bacterial small subunit ribosomal RNA", at positions 148 to 1413 of the family's 1533-position model. The record is from RNAcentral. Lineage: Bacteria; Bacillati; Mycoplasmatota; Mollicutes; Acholeplasmatales; Acholeplasmataceae.